This 593-nucleotide ribosomal RNA is filed under the name uncultured bacterium. RNAcentral's name for it is "partial 16S ribosomal RNA". It matches the Rfam family "Bacterial small subunit ribosomal RNA", at positions 355 to 938 of the family's 1533-position model. The record is from RNAcentral.
UGGGGAAUCUUCCGCAAUGGACGAAAGUCUGACGGAGCAACGCCGCGUGAGUGAAGAAGGUUUUCGGAUCGUAAAACUCUGUCUUUUGGGGCGAACGUGAGUAUGGUGAACAAUCAUAGUCAGUGACGGUACCAAAGGAGGAAGCCACGGCUAACUACGUGCCAGCAGCCGCGGUAAUACGUAGGUGGCAAGCGUUGUCCGGAAUUAUUGGGCGUAAAGAGCGCGUAGGCGGGAUAGUCAGUCUGUUGUAAAAGUGCGGGGCUCAACCCCGUGAUGGCAAUGGAAACAGCUAUUCUUGAGUGCAGGAGAGGAAAGUGGAAUUCCCAGUGUAGCGGUGAAAUGCGUAGAUAUUGGGAGGAACACCAGUGGCGAAGGCGACUUUCUGGACUGUGUCUGACGCUGAGGCGCGAAAGCCAGGGGAGCGAACGGGAUUAGAUACCCCGGUAGUCCUGGGCCGUAAACGAUGGGUACUAGGUGUGGGGGGUAUCGACCCCUUCCGUGCCGGAGUUAACGCAAUAAGUACCCCCGCCUGGGGAGUACGGUCGCAAGACUGGAAACUUAAAUGAAUUCGACGGGGGUCAUAGCUGUUUCCU